UAUAUUUGCAGCCGCUUAGGUGAUGCAUACCGGACUUUCUGUUCGUUGCAUAAAAGGGAAUCGGGUGUAAAUCCCGAACAGUGCCCGCUACUGUGAUCCCCCUGCUCUUCUACUGUUGCCAUCAUAAUCGGAAGAAGAUAAGAAAAGCAUUUCUACAUAUACCACUGUCAUAGCCUGUAAAGCAUGACGGGAAGGUAGCUUUUCAAAAAGGGAUAGUCAGGAAACCUGCCGAAGCAGACAUAGAUAA
Molecule: non-coding RNA, 247 nt
Filed under: Bacteroides fragilis
Lineage: Bacteria; Pseudomonadati; Bacteroidota; Bacteroidia; Bacteroidales; Bacteroidaceae
Also listed under: 1 other name
Source: RNAcentral